GCCAGCAGCCAUAUCACUCUGCAACUCACAAGUGGCAACCCACUAAAGCUGAACGGAGGUGAGCCUGGUCGGUACCUGGAUGGGAGACCUCCUAGGAAAAACUAAGGUUGCUGCUUGAA
This is a ribosomal RNA of Lepisosteus oculatus (spotted gar), 119 nucleotides long. NCBI's taxonomy places the organism in Eukaryota, Metazoa, Chordata, Actinopteri, Semionotiformes, Lepisosteidae. The record is from Ensembl.